This is a non-coding RNA of Kogia breviceps (pygmy sperm whale), 1070 nucleotides long. Lineage: Eukaryota; Metazoa; Chordata; Mammalia; Artiodactyla; Physeteridae. The record is from RefSeq and is a predicted model, not a curated record.
ACGUUUAUUGUGGUUAUUUUCCCAGGUGUCUUAGAAGCAGCUGUUUUGUGCUUUCCUGAACUUAAUAGUUGAAGAAUGUGGGAAAGAAAUGGCGUACUUUCUGGAGGAUUCAUUUCAUAGGUGUCUAUACAUCAGUCAAGAAAAUGACUAUAGAGGAAUUACCAAGACUGUUAAUAAAGAUCAAUCAUAGAUUGGGUAUUGUGACCUGUGUUUCCUCGAUGAAGAUUCCAAAGCUCUGAGUCCUCCAAGUGACUCACUUGCUUGAGGUACACAGAACAUUCUGGAGUUGAGCUUUGAACCCAGCUCUGUGUUCCACACUCACUCUCGUCCCCCUUCAUCAGAAGUUCCACCUACGUCGGGCGAGUGAGGAGACAAAUAGCAGAUGGACUUAAAUGUGGGUUAAUAUACUUAGCAAAGGAACAAUCCAAACUACUUACAGGAUAUGGGCUCUUAGCUACAAAUUACACGUCAUGAAGGAAACCUGGGGACACUGUGUAGGCUGUCACUCAAGAUGACAGCUGCCCAUCCCCUAAAGGCAGUCGAUCCAGGAACAUUUGUUGAGCACUCACUUUGCAUGGAGAUAGAAAAUGUGCUUGCACUUGAAAAACUUAACAUCUUUUCUCACAAGACUUUUUUAAUGUUGCUGUAGUGAGAAAAGUUCCCUGUAAAAGCUCUCUAAACAGCACAUUGGUCUGUAUAUGGAAAGGAGAGAUAAGGGUACCUUCCUUCAGUGCCGUGUACUGAUUUGGAGUGUGUUUUGGAAAUGAAGACUAGAAGUUAGAAUAAGUUUACUUUGAUCUAAAGGAGGUAUUUUCUUAGUAGAGUCAUUAUGAUAUUAUUCCCUAGCUAUUAAAAUUUGCCAUCUUGAUGCUUGGUUAUUCACUGAAAGAAAUGAAAUAUUUAUUAAGGUCAUAUCACUGUUGCAUACAGAGGGAGCCACGGAGUGAUUUUUAUGCCAUGCUUUUUGGUAGCAAUGUUUCUGCUGGGUUGCAUCAACAUCUGUAAAUUAUAUUGAUUAUAAUUAAGUCAGUCUCCAUUGUCUCUAAGAAUUUACAUGGUUUAAAAAUCAG